Molecule: long non-coding RNA, 1374 nt
Organism: Oryzias melastigma (Indian medaka)
Lineage: Eukaryota; Metazoa; Chordata; Actinopteri; Beloniformes; Adrianichthyidae
Exons: 2
Source: RefSeq, a predicted model, not a curated record
CACGCGCCGAGCCACAGGCGCCGCGCUCGUGAGCUACGUGCGGAUUCGGAGGAGCCUCGUUUAAAGGAGCAGCCCCGUUUAUUGUUGUGCUGCAGAACAUGCAGCUGUCAGCAGGCAGAACCGAGCAGAACCGGGCUCAGAGAUGACACCACACUCAGAAUAAGACCCAGAAAGAUGGAAACCCUCUGAAGACAAAUCAGCUUUUAAAAAUGACAGAAAUGGAUGAAGAACGACCUCAAAACUCAAACCAAAUAUACAAAGUUUAGUCGUUUUCCUUUAGAAAAUCGACUUUUCAAACCCCAAUAUUUAUGAGUCAAAUAAUAAAUGAUGCAAUUCCCCUUUUAGUAGGAUUUGAAAUGUGUAAUCACAAAAUACUUUACAAUAUAUUUGAGUUAUUUUUAAAUUAAAACUGAAUUGAUUAGUUUUUAUCUUCAUUUGUGACGGAUCCUCAAAAAGCUGUCGGUGUGAAAGCCACUCCAGCUGCGGUUCUGAUCCCAGGAUUCCAGGUCCAUGGAUCUUCCAGGUCCACUUCCACGUUCUAGAGCAAACCGAUGGAUGGAGGGGACAUCCAGCAACACUUCGUUGAAGACAGCAGAGUAAAUAAUAAAUCUGCUUUUCCACCUUUUCUGAGGCCCAAAGUUCUGUACAGUCCCAUCCGCCAGCGUUUAUACAGCCGCGGCGGCAGAGCUGGCGUCCAUGACGGCGCCAACCAGAGAACUCUGAGCCUCCAUGUCUCAAAAGUAUCUGAAUCUUUCCAAAUAAGCCCAAUUAUGUCUGUAUGUUUGACUCAUUUCCCACAAUGAGCCAUCAAGCAGAACUCUGGCAACUGUCUGUCUUUAAACGCAAUUCUCCAAUAUUAUAUCACCACAUAGGACUUACCAAUAUUCUUUGUAUGGUUUUCACGUUGAAAUAUUCCUUUAAGCUUCUCAACAAAUAAUUUUCCCAUCCAUUCCUGCAUCUCCCAAAUCAGAAAAUGGGGAUGCUGGAGCCUAUCCUAUCCGCUGCCAGGUGAAGGUUUAAUGUCUUUUACUACACAAAAGGCCAGACGUGUCACAAUAAAUGUACAUUUCUUCACUUUGACUCCCCUUAAACUGUUUUUAAUUUUAUUUUCUUUAGUUCUAAUUCUUCAAUAUUGUUUCAAAAAUAUUUUUUAAAAGAUCAAAGUCUUAAAGCAGCUCAAAUGUUCUCAACUUUUCACUUAAAAAAAGGUUUUCUAAAUGAGUCUCACUGGUCUUGGUGUCAUUUCAUCUUGUGCUUCCAAAAAGUCCAAACAGAAUUUUCUGAACACAAUUUAUAAAGAUUUAUUUUUACAGCAGAAUUUCUGCAUAAAGUAAUUACAAGUUCUUUAUUUAAAAAAUGUAAAUUAAAAAAAAA